Dioscorea cayenensis subsp. rotundata (Guinea yam) is the source of this 187-nucleotide long non-coding RNA. RefSeq lists it as uncharacterized. Lineage: Eukaryota; Viridiplantae; Streptophyta; Magnoliopsida; Dioscoreales; Dioscoreaceae. The record is from RefSeq and is a predicted model, not a curated record. The transcript is spliced from 3 exons.
CUCUUAAGAUUCUGAUGGUGCAGUGAAGUGGAGGUGCUUUGGAAUUCCAAGAUAUGGGUUGUACCCACAUGCAUGGUCAAAAUCUGUUAAUGGGGUUGAUUAAUACUGGAAUAGGGUUAUAUGCCACUAAAGAAAGCAUAGUUUCAAGGGUGUUGCUCUGUGGAUGAUCUAAAGAUGGAAAGGAAUC